CUUGACUCUAGUCUGGCACUGUAAGGAGACAUGAGAGGUGUAGCAUAAGUGGGAGACCCUCCCUUCGCGGGGCGGCGGUCGCCGUUGAAAUACCACUACUUUCAUCGUUUCUUUACUUACUUGGUGAGGCGGAGGGCGCGCGUCGUUCCCCGUGUUCGGCGCGCGGUCUUCUGGAACCAAGGGCGGCGAGUGCAAGAUCCUUGCCGAUCGAUCCGAUCCAAGGACACUGCCAGGCG
RNAcentral lists this ribosomal RNA (236 nucleotides) under Vistrolepisma aff. brigalowsum AM-2022a. RNAcentral's name for it is "Visma aff. brigalowsum AM-2022a partial 28S ribosomal RNA". It matches the Rfam family "Eukaryotic large subunit ribosomal RNA", at positions 2421 to 2614 of the family's 3401-position model. Lineage: Eukaryota; Metazoa; Arthropoda; Insecta; Zygentoma; Lepismatidae. The record is from RNAcentral.